CCUGGUGGCUCAGAUGGUAAAGCAUCUGCCUGCAAUACAGGAGACCCAGGUUCAAUUCCUGGGUCAGGA
This 69-nucleotide transfer RNA is filed under the name Ovis aries (sheep). It matches the Rfam family "tRNA". From Rfam's summary of the family: Transfer RNA (tRNA) molecules are approximately 80 nucleotides in length. The record is from Rfam by way of RNAcentral. Lineage: Eukaryota; Metazoa; Chordata; Mammalia; Artiodactyla; Bovidae.